Molecule: long non-coding RNA, 606 nt
Filed under: Panax ginseng (ginseng)
Lineage: Eukaryota; Viridiplantae; Streptophyta; Magnoliopsida; Apiales; Araliaceae
Description: long non-coding RNA (PGIN_LNC003860)
Source: RNAcentral
GGUUACUCAGAUUCUAGUAGCUCAGAUAUAGUAAGGGAGCAACCCAUACUAUACCCACGAUCUCCCUCCCCGUACAGAUCGCUGUCAGGGAUGAUUCACUUGAUGAACAUUAUUCUAGAAGCCCUAAUCACUCUGUCUCUUGAAGCAUGUCUCCUCUUAAAGCAAGGAGGAGUAGGAGUCAGACUCCGGCCGGCAACCAUUUACACUCGCCGGAAAGAUCUCCUUCUCCUACAUGAAGGACCCAAAUUAUUUGUGGAACUUCCAGGUCAAUGUCAAGGUCCACAUUAUAUACAUCAUCAAGUUUUUGAGUAAAAUUCACCUGUUAUUUCCUUUCUGGUAAUGAAAAUAGUCUACAUUGUCGAGAUAUAAUAGACUUUUCUUAGAGAGAAAUUGGUGCAUUUAUUUAAAGUUUUUAGAAGUUGUGGUUUUUCCUUUCAAUUGCAAGAUAAGUAUAGGUUGUGCUUUUAGGUGUUAUGUGAGUUGGCACUAGGGUAUGGAUAUGAAAAGUUAUGGUUUAAUUAUUGAAUUACUUAGGGCUGGCUAGUCUGAACCUUUUGUUAAAACUUGAUAGUUUUUUGAAAAAUUAAUUAUUAUUAUUUAUUUAAG